RNAcentral lists this long non-coding RNA (2204 nucleotides) under Canis lupus familiaris (dog). Its description in RNAcentral is "lncRNA (ENSCAFG00040004351.1)". Lineage: Eukaryota; Metazoa; Chordata; Mammalia; Carnivora; Canidae. The record is from RNAcentral.
GGCCGCCGGAGGCCGGUCAUAUGACUGAGCCGGCCCGCCGCCGCCGCCGCCGCCGCCGCCUCGCGCGCUGACAGUUAUCUCCUGCGGGAGGAGCCCGCAGCCCCACGGCGGCCGCGGCGGCGGCGGCGGCGGCGGCGCGGGAGGAGCGCGGCCGCCCGGGCGGCGGCCAUUGGCCCGGCGGCCGCCCGCCCCGGGCUCACGUAACCCCGGCGGGAGGCGCGGCCCGGAGCGCGCGGCCCGCGGGGGGCGGGGGCGGGGCGGGGGGGCGGGGCGGGCGCGGCGCUUAAAGGGGCCGGGGGCGCGGGGGCGGGGCCGGGGGGUGCGGGGGGCGGGGCCGGGGGCGGGGCGGGCGCGGCGCUUAAAGGGGCCGUGAGGGCGCGCGGGGCGGGGCGGGCGCGGCGCUUAAAGGGGCAGGGGGCGCGCGGGGCGGGGCGGGCGGCUCGGGCUGCGGGCGGCGGGGCUGCAGCGGUCGCCGCGGCCCUUCGGCAGUGAGCGAGCGAGCGGCUGCGCCGAUCUUUGUUCUUGUUGAGACAAAGCCCCUGGACUUGGGUCCCCGGUUCGUGCAGUCGGAUUAUUCGCUCUCCAGCAUCUUGGGUCACUACACCAGAGUUCUAUAAAAAGUUGCCUGUGAAAUUAAAACAACAACAACAACAACACAUGGAAUCCACUGCAUAGGUUCAAAAAAUAAGAGGAGCUGGUUUGUAACGGAAUGCUGUCUUCAUGCGCGCUCAGCCAUCGAGGCACAGAAUAAGCUGCGUCCGCAGCAGAUUUCUACGAUUAAAACGGUGGAUUGAGUGUUCAGGCCAGCAGGCAGUCCUUGUUUCAUGCAAUGGAGUGGACACAGUCCCCUGAUUUGCAGCUUUGAUCAGUCUACCCCAUGGGACUACCAGUAUUGGCCAGAAUCCUAUGUGACAGGUCCUUCUCUCAGCCCCUUCUGAAUUUACUUGCCUCCCGUGAGCUGCUACUUUUUCAAGACUCAGUAAGAAGACACGUUCAUGCAACCCUCUGGCUGCUGAAUACUUACCAAGCCUGCAUUUCCUGUUCUUCCCAUCCCCAAUUAAAUACUUAUUCUUUGAACUACAUUUCUCAAUUAUUUUCCAGUCAAGGUGUAAAUGAGAGCUAAAUAUCACUACAUUUUAUUUUCGGGAAAAAAAGUUAAACCAUAUUACAUCAGUGUAAAGAACAUAAAUCAUAUGAAAUCUAAGUAUCCUAACAAAGUGGCACCUCUUCCUAAUAACCAGAGAUAUUUACAUCACUCUGAUAUCCUUGAACUAAUAUUUCUAAUUUAAUUCUCCCAUAACAUUUUUUUAAAGAUUUAUUUAUUUAUUUUGGAGACAGAGAGUGAGCCAGGGGAGGGUCAAAGGGAGAAAGAGAAUCUCAAGCAGACUCCCUAUUGAGCUUGGAGCCCAAUGGGGACCCUGAGAUCAGGAGCUAAGCCAAAACCAAGAGUCAGUGGCUCAGCUGACUGAGCCACCCAGUGCCCCAUCCCAUGUGGUUUUAUCUUAAUGUAAAACUUUAAAAUAUAGAUAUAUUUAUUUAUUUACUUGGGAGGGAGAGAGCAUGAGUGGGGAGGGGAGCAGAGGGAGAGAGAGAAGCAGACUCCCCGCUGAGCAGAGAGCCUGAUGCGAGGCUCAAUCCCAGGACCCCGGGAUUAUGACACGAGCCAAAGACAGACGCUCAACCAAUUGAACCACGCAGGCACCCCUGUAUAACUUUUAUACCUAAAAAUCUUUGAUUACUCACUUGUCAUACUCAGUAAAAAAAAAAAAAAAAAAAAUUAUAUAUAUAUAUAUAAUAUCCUGGGUUAAUUAAUGUUCUAAAUAUGAAAAUACUCUGUCAGUUUAAUUAUUAGUAGUAUGAAAUUUAUCAAUAUAACAAAUGCAUAAUUCUUUUUUUUUAACAUUUUAUAUAUUUAUUUAUUUGAGAGAGAGACAGAGAGAGAGAGCACAAAAGGGGAGGCAGUGGGGGGGGAGGGGCAGAGGGAGAAGCAGACUCCCUGCCAAGCGCUGAGCCUGACUGGGAUCCUAUCCCAGACCCUGAGACCAUGACCUGAGCCAAAGUCAGAUGCUCAACUGACUGAACCACCCAGGCACCCCAACAAAUUUGUAAUUCUUAAACAAAAAAUUUAAUUGUGUUGUAAAUGCAUUUCUCAAUGACAGAUGGAGCUAGAUUCAAUUUUAUUCACUCUUAUGGAUAAACAUUAC